Molecule: ribosomal RNA, 225 nt
Filed under: uncultured bacterium
Lineage: Bacteria
Description: partial 16S ribosomal RNA
Rfam family: Bacterial small subunit ribosomal RNA
Source: RNAcentral
UUUAAGGCAAUCUACCUUUGAGAGGGAAACAACCUGCCGAAAGGCGGGCUAAUGUCCCAUAAGACCACGGGGAUGCAUAUUCCAGAGGUCAAAGCUUCGCAAGGGGCGCUCGAAGAGGAGCCUGAAUCCUAUCAGCUAGUUGGUGAGGUAAUGGCUCACCAAGGCUUUGACGGGUAGCCGGCCUGAAAGGGUGAUCGGCCACACUGGCACUGAGACACGGGCCAG